Molecule: ribosomal RNA, 497 nt
Filed under: uncultured bacterium
Lineage: Bacteria
Description: partial 16S ribosomal RNA
Rfam family: Bacterial small subunit ribosomal RNA
Source: RNAcentral
GAUGAACGCUGGCGGCGUGCCUAAUACAUGCAAGUCGAGCGAACGGACGAGAAGCUUGCUUCUCUGAUGUUAGCGGCGGACGGGUGAGUAACACGUGGAUAACCUACCUAUAAGACUGGGAUAACUUCGGGAAACCGGAGCUAAUACCGGAUAAUAUUUUGAACCGCAUGGUUCAAAAGUGAAAGACGGUCUUGCUGUCACUUAUAGAUGGAUCCGCGCUGCAUUAGCUAGUUGGUAAGGUAACGGCUUACCAAGGCAACGAUGCAUAGCCGACCUGAGAGGGUGAUCGGCCACACUGGAAGUGAGACACGGUCCAGACUCCUACGGGAGGAAGCAGUAGGGAAUCUUCCGCAAUGGGCGAAAGCCUGACGGAGCAACGCCGCGUGAGUGAUGAAGGUCUUCGGAUCGUAAAACUCUGUUAUUAGUGAAGAACAUAUGUGUAAGUAACUGUGCACAUCUUGACGGUACCUAAUCAGAAAGCCACGGCUAACUACGUG